RNAcentral lists this ribosomal RNA (253 nucleotides) under uncultured bacterium. RNAcentral's name for it is "partial 16S ribosomal RNA". It matches the Rfam family "Bacterial small subunit ribosomal RNA", at positions 524 to 776 of the family's 1533-position model. The record is from RNAcentral.
UACGAAGGGUGCAAGCGUUACUCGGAAUUACUGGGCGUAAAGCGUGCGUAGGUGGUUUGUUAAGUCUGAUGUGAAAGCCCUGGGCUCAACCUGGGAAUGGCACUGGAUACUGGCAGGCUAGAGUGCGGUAGAGGAUGGCGGAAUUCCCGGUGUAGCAGUGAAAUGCGUAGAGAUCGGGAGGAACAUCUGUGGCGAAGGCGGCCAUCUGGACCAGCACUGACACUGAGGCACGAAAGCGUGGGGAGCAAACAGG